Molecule: unclassified non-coding RNA, 382 nt
Filed under: uncultured Acaulosporaceae
Lineage: Eukaryota; Fungi; Glomeromycota; Glomeromycetes; Diversisporales; Acaulosporaceae
Description: sequence contains ITS1
Rfam family: 5.8S ribosomal RNA (bases 1-107)
Source: RNAcentral
AAACUGUGAUAAGUAAUGUGAAUUGCAGAACUCCGUGAAUCAUCAAACCUUUGAACGCAUCUUGCACUUGAAGGGUUAAAUCUUCAAGUAUGCCUGUUUGAGAACCAUUCUCAUCUUCAUUUCCCCUCUUUUCUCUGAAAAGUGUGGGUGAAAUGGUCUGUGAGUGUCAAUUGAGGAAAUUUCCUAGUUUCUGAGAUUGUCGCUUCAAAUAGAUAUUUUGGAAAUCGAGAUUUUUGCCCUUCUGAGUCCAAAUCAAAGUUUGGUGUUACUUGGACAUUCAUCGACAGAUCUGCCUUAGAAAGGAAAGUUCGAUCCAAUUUGUGAAUUUCACAAACUUAACAAACAUGGUCUCAAAUCAGGUAAGGAUACCCACUGAACUUAA